RNAcentral lists this ribosomal RNA (1351 nucleotides) under Lactiplantibacillus plantarum. Its description in RNAcentral is "bacterial SSU rRNA". It matches the Rfam family "Bacterial small subunit ribosomal RNA", at positions 42 to 1360 of the family's 1533-position model. Lineage: Bacteria; Bacillati; Bacillota; Bacilli; Lactobacillales; Lactobacillaceae. The record is from RNAcentral.
GCGGUGCUAAUACAUGCAAGUCGAACGAACUCUGGUAUUGAUUGGUGCUUGCAUCAUGAUUUACAUUUGAGUGAGUGGCGAACUGGUGAGUAACACGUGGGAAACCUGCCCAGAAGCGGGGGAUAACACCUGGAAACAGAUGCUAAUACCGCAUAACAACUUGGACCGCAUGGUCCGAGUUUGAAAGAUGGCUUCGGCUAUCACUUUUGGAUGGUCCCGCGGCGUAUUAGCUAGAUGGUGGGGUAACGGCUCACCAUGGCAAUGAUACGUAGCCGACCUGAGAGGGUAAUCGGCCACAUUGGGACUGAGACACGGCCCAAACUCCUACGGGAGGCAGCAGUAGGGAAUCUUCCACAAUGGACGAAAGUCUGAUGGAGCAACGCCGCGUGAGUGAAGAAGGGUUUCGGCUCGUAAAACUCUGUUGUUAAAGAAGAACAUAUCUGAGAGUAACUGUUCAGGUAUUGACGGUAUUUAACCAGAAAGCCACGGCUAACUACGUGCCAGCAGCCGCGGUAAUACGUAGGUGGCAAGCGUUGUCCGGAUUUAUUGGGCGUAAAGCGAGCGCAGGCGGUUUUUUAAGUCUGAUGUGAAAGCCUUCGGCUCAACCGAAGAAGUGCAUCGGAAACUGGGAAACUUGAGUGCAGAAGAGGACAGUGGAACUCCAUGUGUAGCGGUGAAAUGCGUAGAUAUAUGGAAGAACACCAGUGGCGAAGGCGGCUGUCUGGUCUGUAACUGACGCUGAGGCUCGAAAGUAUGGGUAGCAAACAGGAUUAGAUACCCUGGUAGUCCAUACCGUAAACGAUGAAUGCUAAGUGUUGGAGGGUUUCCGCCCUUCAGUGCUGCAGCUAACGCAUUAAGCAUUCCGCCUGGGGAGUACGGCCGCAAGGCUGAAACUCAAAGGAAUUGACGGGGGCCCGCACAAGCGGUGGAGCAUGUGGUUUAAUUCGAAGCUACGCGAAGAACCUUACCAGGUCUUGACAUACUAUGCAAAUCUAAGAGAUUAGACGUUCCCUUCGGGGACAUGGAUACAGGUGGUGCAUGGUUGUCGUCAGCUCGUGUCGUGAGAUGUUGGGUUAAGUCCCGCAACGAGCGCAACCCUUAUUAUCAGUUGCCAGCAUUAAGUUGGGCACUCUGGUGAGACUGCCGGUGACAAACCGGAGGAAGGUGGGGAUGACGUCAAAUCAUCAUGCCCCUUAUGACCUGGGCUACACACGUGCUACAAUGGAUGGUACAACGAGUUGCGAACUCGCGAGAGUAAGCUAAUCUCUUAAAGCCAUUCUCAGUUCGGAUUGUAGGCUGCAACUCGCCUACAUGAAGUCGGAAUCGCUAGUAAUCGCGGAUCAGCAGCCGU